RNAcentral lists this ribosomal RNA (253 nucleotides) under uncultured bacterium. Its description in RNAcentral is "partial 16S ribosomal RNA". It matches the Rfam family "Bacterial small subunit ribosomal RNA", at positions 524 to 776 of the family's 1533-position model. The record is from RNAcentral.
UACGUAGGGGGCUAGCGUUGUCCGGAAUCAUUGGGCGUAAAGCGCGUGUAGGCGGCCCGGUAAGUCCGCUGUGAAAGUCGGGGGCUCAACCCUCGGAUGCCGGUGGAUACUGUCGGGCUCGAGUACGGAAGAGGCGAGUGGAAUUCCUGGUGUAGCGGUGAAAUGCGCAGAUAUCAGGAGGAACACCGGUGGCGAAGGCGGUUCUCUGGGCCUUACCUGACGCUGAGGAGCGAAAGCAUGGGGAGCAAACAGG